GUAGGUGGCAAGCGUUGUCCGGAAUUAUUGGGCGUAAAGCGCGCGCAGGUGGUUCUUUAAGUCUGAUGUGAAAGCCCCCGGCUCAACCGGGGAGGGUCAUUGGAAACUGGGGAACUUGAGUGCAGGAGAGGAAAGUGGAAUUCCACGUGUAGCGGUGAAAUGCGUAGAUAUGUGGAGGAACACCAGUGGCGAAGGCGACUUUCUGGCCUGUAACUGACACUGAGGCGCGAAAGCGUGGGGAGCAAACAGGGAUUAGAUACCCUGGUAGUCCACGCCGUAAACGAUGAGUGCUAAGUGUUGGGGGGGUUUCCCGCCCCUCAGUGCUGCAGCUAACGCAUUAAGCACUCCGCCUGGGGAGUACGGUCGCAAGGCUG
This 374-nucleotide ribosomal RNA is filed under the name uncultured organism. Its description in RNAcentral is "partial 16S ribosomal RNA". It matches the Rfam family "Bacterial small subunit ribosomal RNA", at positions 527 to 896 of the family's 1533-position model. The record is from RNAcentral.